This 63-nucleotide transfer RNA is filed under the name Contracaecum osculatum. RNAcentral's name for it is "tRNA-Met". The record is from RNAcentral. Lineage: Eukaryota; Metazoa; Nematoda; Chromadorea; Rhabditida; Anisakidae.
AGUAAGAUAGGAUAAAUUUUUAGUCCUUAAGGUUCAUACCCUUGUAGUGUUUUCUCUUAUUGU